GUCACGCCCCGGGACCCAGCGGGAGCCCGCCCGGCGCGUGCCCAGACCCGCCAUAUGUCUACAACAUAUAAGGCGUCUAAAAACAACAAUAAUAACAGCAAUAAUAAAAGACAUCUAGAAGUAUCAGAGCAUAAUAAAUGUCUAAAUGCUACAACAAGGGAUAAGGAUAAAACAGUAAAUCCACUAAAUAAAACAUAGAGUAAGAACAAUAGGAAAUCCCAAAUACAAGAGCUAUAAGUAGGUACAUAGGUGGUCUCUAUACAUGAAUACAAAAUCUCUCACUCUCUCUCAACUACAAAAAGAAAGAGUAAACCACCUAGGCAAAGUACCGCUCCUCGCUAGCUAGCUAAGCGAUCCCCUUGCCGC
Molecule: long non-coding RNA, 366 nt
Filed under: Ananas comosus (pineapple)
Lineage: Eukaryota; Viridiplantae; Streptophyta; Magnoliopsida; Poales; Bromeliaceae
Description: long non-coding RNA (ACOM_LNC042983)
Source: RNAcentral